Molecule: small RNA, 115 nt
Filed under: Arabidopsis thaliana (thale cress)
Lineage: Eukaryota; Viridiplantae; Streptophyta; Magnoliopsida; Brassicales; Brassicaceae
Description: ATSL047860
Source: RNAcentral
GAAAGAAUGUAAAAUUUAUAUUCAAACAAAAAAACGUUAUUACAAAAGAUGCAUCUGUUUCUCAGAAAUUUUAGAGUGAAAAUAGAUAGAGGUGCAGAAAAGGUCUGAAAAAAAA